AAAACGACUCUCGGCAACGGAUAUCUCGGCUCUCGCAUCGAUGAAGAACGUAGCGAAAUGCGAUACUUGGUGUGAAUUGCAGAAUCCCGUGAACCAUCGAGUCUUUGAACGCAAGUUGCGCCCCAAGCCUUCUGGCCGAGGGCACAUCUGCCUGGGUGUCACAA
This 164-nucleotide ribosomal RNA is filed under the name Arabidopsis thaliana (thale cress). RNAcentral's name for it is "5.8S ribosomal RNA". It matches the Rfam family "5.8S ribosomal RNA". Rfam says of the family: 5.8S ribosomal RNA (5.8S rRNA) is a component of the large subunit of the eukaryotic ribosome. Lineage: Eukaryota; Viridiplantae; Streptophyta; Magnoliopsida; Brassicales; Brassicaceae. The record is from RNAcentral.